This is a non-coding RNA of Colletotrichum gloeosporioides, 85 nucleotides long. Lineage: Eukaryota; Fungi; Ascomycota; Sordariomycetes; Glomerellales; Glomerellaceae. The record is from Rfam.
UCUCGGUUGGCGCAAUGGUUAGCGUUCUGGACUUUUAGGAAAUACUGAAAUCCAGGGGUUACGGGUUCGAGUCCCGUACCGGGAG